Molecule: non-coding RNA, 26 nt
Filed under: Rattus norvegicus (Norway rat)
Lineage: Eukaryota; Metazoa; Chordata; Mammalia; Rodentia; Muridae
Source: RNAcentral
CCCUAUGAAGAACCUCUACCAUUUGC